UUUUAUGGAGAGUUUGAUCCUGGCUCAGGAUGAACGCUGGCGGCGUGCCUAAUACAUGCAAGUCGAGCGAACGGAUGAGAAGCUUGCUUCUCUGAUGUUAGCGGCGGACGGGUGAGUAACACGUGGAUAACCUACCUAUAAGACUGGGAUAACUUCGGGAAACCGGAGCUAAUACCGGAUAAUAUUUUGAACCGCAUGGUUCAAAAGUGAAAGACGGUCUUGCUGUCACUUAUAGAUGGAUCCGCGCUGCAUUAGCUAGUUGGUAAGGUAACGGCUUACCAAGGCAACGAUGCAUAGCCGACCUGAGAGGGUGAUCGGCCACACUGGAACUGAGACACGGUCCAGACUCCUACGGGAGGCAGCAGUAGGGAAUCUUCCGCAAUGGGCGAAAGCCUGACGGAGCAACGCCGCGUGAGUGAUG
RNAcentral lists this ribosomal RNA (421 nucleotides) under Staphylococcus aureus. RNAcentral's name for it is "bacterial SSU rRNA". It matches the Rfam family "Bacterial small subunit ribosomal RNA", at positions 1 to 410 of the family's 1533-position model. The record is from RNAcentral. Lineage: Bacteria; Bacillati; Bacillota; Bacilli; Caryophanales; Staphylococcaceae.